AUAAAGAUCUUCAGUUUAUAUUUAAAAUUAAACAUAGGUAGAACUAAAUUAUUAUAUAUUUAUGUUAAAAUAUGCAAUUUCGUGUUCCUACCACACACUUUUAUGGAUAUCUCUAGACAUUUUAAGCUAAUUAAGAAGCAUAAAUUGAUUGUUGGAAGGUAUAGUGUAAUAUAUCUGUACAAGUUACAUAUGAUUCAAAAUGUGUGUAAACAAUUUUUUUCAUAGUACAUAUAUAGUUUAGAGUCCAAGGCUUUUUAUUGUAUCCAAAGUAAAAUGAAAAACCAACUUUGGCAUUAACCUAGAUUCUUCAUUAAAGUAAUUUUUGCUUUUAAAAGAAUAUCCAAAAAAAUAUGAUCCUUUGGCUAUUGUAAUAUUUUAUUUUAAGUGCUAUGUAAUGAUAAAUCAAGCCAAAUAAAAUAUGUUUCUGAA
Non-coding RNA from Cinara cedri, 429 nucleotides. Lineage: Eukaryota; Metazoa; Arthropoda; Insecta; Hemiptera; Aphididae. The record is from the annotation of a GenBank genome assembly.